This 104-nucleotide non-coding RNA is filed under the name Phyllobacterium sp. YR531. RNAcentral describes it as "TPP riboswitch aptamer (THI element)". It matches the Rfam family "TPP riboswitch aptamer (THI element)". Rfam says of the family: Vitamin B(1) in its active form thiamin pyrophosphate (TPP) is an essential coenzyme that is synthesised by coupling of pyrimidine and thiazole moieties in bacteria. The previously detected thiamin-regulatory element, thi box was extended, resulting in a new, highly conserved RNA secondary structure, the THI element, which is widely distributed in eubacteria and also occurs in some archaea. The record is from Rfam by way of RNAcentral. Lineage: Bacteria; Pseudomonadati; Pseudomonadota; Alphaproteobacteria; Hyphomicrobiales; Phyllobacteriaceae. RNAcentral also lists the same sequence under 1 other name.
CUUCAUUCCGAGGGGGGCAUCGUACGAUGCUGAGAUGGCGUUGAGCCAAGACCCUUGAACCUGAUCCGGAUUAUGCCGGCGUAGGAACGGGAAUUGAGCAGUCU